RNAcentral lists this ribosomal RNA (1242 nucleotides) under metagenome. Its description in RNAcentral is "bacterial LSU rRNA". It matches the Rfam family "Bacterial large subunit ribosomal RNA", at positions 1564 to 2817 of the family's 2925-position model. The record is from RNAcentral.
UGAGUACGAGAUGCUACGGCAUCGAAGCAGUCUAUGUCAUACUUCCAAGAAAAGCUUGCACUGUCAUAAACAAAGAAUGCCUGUACCAUAACCGACACAGGUGGGUAGGUAGAGUAUACUAAGGGGCGCGAGAUAACUCUCUCUAAGGAACUCGGCAAAAUGACUCCGUAACUUCGGGAGAAGGAGUGCCUUAUUUCUAAGGUUGCAAUAACAAGAUCCAAGCAACUGUUUACCAAAAACACAGGUCUCCGCUAAGUCGUAAGACGAUGUAUGGGGGCUGACGCCUGCCCAGUGCCAGAAGGUUAAAGAAGUUGGUUAGCAUUAGCGAAGCUGAUAACUGAAGCCCUGGUGAACGGCGGCCGUAACAAUAACGGUCCUAAGGUAGCGAAAUUCCUUGUCGGGUAAGUUCCGACCCGCACGAAAGGCGUAAUGAUUUGGAUACUGUCUCGGAGAGGGGCUCGGUGAAAUAGACUUGUCUGUGAAGAUGCGGACUACCUGCACCUGGACAGAAAGACCCUAUGAAGCUUUACUGUAACUUGAGAUUGAAAUUGGACUUUAUUUGCGCAGUAUAGGUGGGAGGCGUUGAGAAUAAUCUUCGGGAUUGUUGGAGCCAUCAGUGAGAUACCACUCUUGUAAUGUUAGAUUUCUAACUUUGUAUCAUUAUCUGGUUAAAGAACAGUUUCAGGCGGGCAGUUUGACUGGGGCGGUCGCCUCCCAAAGGGUAACGGAGGCGCACAAAGGUUUCCUCUGAACGGGUAGAAAUCGUAUCUAGAGUGUAAAGGCAUAAGGAAGCUUGACUGUGAGACCUACAAGUCGAGCAGGGACGAAAGUCGGUCUUAGUGAUCUGACGGUGCUGAGUGGAAAGGCCGUCACUCAACGGAUAAAAGUUACUCUAGGAUAACAGGCUGAUCUCCCCCAAGAGUUCACAUCGACGGGGAGGUUUGGCACCUCGAUGUCGGCUCAUCGCAUCCUGGGGCGGUAGUCCGUCCCAAGGGUUGGGCUGUUCGCCCAUGAAAGCGGUACGCGAGCUGGGUUCAGAACGUCGUGAGACAGUUCGGUCCAUAUCCGGUGUAGGCGUUAGAAUAUUGAGAGGAGCCUUCUCUAGUACGAGAGGACCGAGAAGGACAUACCUCUGGUGUACCAGUUAUCGUGCCAACGGUAAACGCUGGGUAGCUAUGUACGGAGUGGAUAACCGCUGAAAGCAUCUAAGUGGGAAGCCCACCUCAAGAUAAGUAUUCUCAU